RNAcentral lists this ribosomal RNA (492 nucleotides) under uncultured bacterium. Its description in RNAcentral is "partial 16S ribosomal RNA". It matches the Rfam family "Bacterial small subunit ribosomal RNA", at positions 29 to 507 of the family's 1533-position model. The record is from RNAcentral.
AGUGAACGCUGGCGGUAGGCCUAACACAUGCAAGUCGAACGGCAGCACAGUAAGAGCUUGCUCUUACGGGUGGCGAGUGGCGGACGGGUGAGGAAUACAUCGGAAUCUACUUUUUCGUGGGGGAUAACGUAGGGGAACUUACGCUAAUACCGCAUACGACCUACGGGUGAAAGCAGGGGAUCUUCGGACCUUGCGCGAAUGAAUGAGCCGAUGUCGGAUUAGCUAGUUGGCGGGGUAAAGGCCCACCAAGGCGACGAUCCGUAGCUGGUCUGAGAGGAUGAUCAGCCACACUGGAACUGAGACACGGUCCAGACUCCUACGGGAGGCAGCAGUGGGGAAUAUUGGACAAUGGGCGCAAGCCUGAUCCAGCCAUACCGCGUGGGUGAAGAAGGCCUUCGGGUUGUAAAGCCCUUUUGUUGGGAAAGAAAAGCAGCAGGUUAAUACCCCGCUGUUCUGACGGUACCCAAAGAAUAAGCACCGGCUAACUUCGUG